Molecule: small RNA, 341 nt
Organism: Plesiomonas shigelloides 302-73
Lineage: Bacteria; Pseudomonadati; Pseudomonadota; Gammaproteobacteria; Enterobacterales; Enterobacteriaceae
Source: Rfam
ACCGGUAAGGAUGCGGGUUGGUUAAGGAUGACAACGGACUUCUUCGGGAUGAAGAAUCAGGAUGCGCCUCAGGAUGAGGAAGUGGAUACUUCAGGAUGAAGUCAGGGACACCUCCAGGAUGGAGAAGUGAGCCGGAAUAAGGACAGUACGGCGACGCAAGGACGGUACAAGGACGAUUGUCAGGACGACAAAAGGACAGCUUCACGGAUUGAAGAGCAUAAAGGACAAGCCAUAGGAUAUGGUGAGAUUCACGGAGUGAUGCAGGGAGCACACUUUGCAGCAGGAUGGCUGUAGCAAGACCUGAGAGGGGUAUCGUUUCGACGAUACCCCUUUCUUCUUAU